GGAAGGUGAAAAACCAGAACAUGUCGGAUUUGUAUGAAGAGGUGAAGAAACUGAAGGAUAAAUUGCUCUCCUUCAAGAUCAGCCAUGCCCUGAGGGGAACGAAACUCCAAGGCAGAUGCUCAAGCAAACUUGGAAAUCACUCUUGCUGAUGGUCAGGUCCAGGAGGAGUCCGCGAAGUAGUUUUGACGCUGAUGCAGACGACCUAUUUUUUGAAGAGUAGGCCCUGAUGAGUUGAGGAUGUUAUGGCUUCCAGCUCUGUGUUACAGUGACCAGAGUGGCUUUCUGGUUUCAACACUGCCAUUUGUUGGGUGUAAGUUUACAACGUAAAGCAUUUCGACCACAAAACUGAAGCUUCUGUUUACGUGCAACUUUGGAGACCGAUUAUUUCUGAAAUUCGACCCUUGGAUGAAAUAAGACGGGAUACAAGGGAGAUUCAGUUUGACAAACCACACCCGAAAGAAAGAAGACGCGCAU
Long non-coding RNA from Pyrus x bretschneideri (Chinese white pear), 474 nucleotides. RefSeq lists it as uncharacterized. The transcript is spliced from 3 exons. Lineage: Eukaryota; Viridiplantae; Streptophyta; Magnoliopsida; Rosales; Rosaceae. The record is from RefSeq and is a predicted model, not a curated record.